Molecule: ribosomal RNA, 446 nt
Filed under: uncultured bacterium
Lineage: Bacteria
Description: partial 16S ribosomal RNA
Rfam family: Bacterial small subunit ribosomal RNA
Source: RNAcentral
CCUACGGGCGGCAGCAGUCGAGAAUCAUUCACAAUGGGGGAAACCCUGAUGGUGCGACGCCGCGUGGGGGAAUGAAGGUCUUCGGAUUGUAAACCCCUGUCAUGUGGGAGCAAAUUAAAAAGAUAGUACCACAAGAGGAAGAGACGGCUAACUCUGUGCCAGCAGCCGCGGUAAUAAAGAGGUCUCAAGCGUUGUUCGGAAUCACUGGGCGUAAAGCGUGCGUAGGCUGUUUCGUAAGUCGUGUGUGAAAGGCGCGGACUCAACCCGCGGACGGCACAUGAUACUGCGAGACUAGAGUAAUGGAGGGGGGACCGGAAUUCUCGGUGUAGCAGUGAAAUGCGUAGAGAUCGAGAGGAACACUCGUGGCGAAGGCGGGUCCCUGGACAUUAACUGACGCUGAGGCACGAAGGCCAGGGGAGCGAAAGGGAUUAGAUACCCCGGUAGUC